This 909-nucleotide ribosomal RNA is filed under the name uncultured bacterium. Its description in RNAcentral is "bacterial SSU rRNA". It matches the Rfam family "Bacterial small subunit ribosomal RNA", at positions 1 to 924 of the family's 1533-position model. The record is from RNAcentral.
GCCCUUAGAGUUUGAUCCUGGCUCAGGACGAACGCUGGCGGCGUGCUUAACACAUGCAAGUCGAACGGUCUAUAAGGGCUUGCCCUUAUAGGUAGUGGCGAACGGGUGCGUAACACGUGAGUAACCUGCCCCAUAGUUUGGAAUAACACCGGGAAACCGAUGCUAAUACCAAAUAUGCUCGCACUAGCACAAGCUAGAGCAAGGAAAGAUUUACCGCUUUGGGAGGGGCUCGCGGCCUAUCAGCUUGUUGGUGAGGUAACGGCUCACCAAGGCUUCGACGGGCAGCUGGUCUGAGAGGACGAUCAGCCACACUGGGACUGAGACACGGCCCAGACUCCUACGGGAGGCAGCAGUGGGGAAUAUUGCGCAAUGGGCGAAAGCCUGACGCAGCAACGCCGCGUGGAGGAUGAAGGCUCUAGGGUCGUAAACUCCUUUCAGCAGGAAAGAAAAUGACGGUACCUGCAGAAGAAGCUCCGGCCAACUACGUGCCAGCAGCCGCGGUAAUACGUAGGGAGCAAGCGUUGUCCGGAUUUAUUGGGCGUAAAGAGCUCGUAGGCGGCUUAGAUAGUCGGAUGUUAAACCCCUAGGCUUAACCUAGGGCAGCCAUUCGAUACUACUAUGGCUAGAGUUCGGUAGGGGAUUGUGGAAUUCCCGGUGUAGCGGUGAAAUGCGCAGAUAUCGGGAGGAACACCAAUGGCGAAGGCAGCAAUCUGGGCCGAUACUGACGCUGAGGAGCGAAAGCGUGGGGAGCAAACAGGAUUAGAUACCCUGGUAGUCCACGCCCUAAACGUUGGGCACUAGGUGACUGACCUACUUCGACGGGUUCCGUGCCGUAGCUAACGCAUUAAGUGCCCCGCCUGGGGAGUACGGCCGCAAGGCUAAAACUCAAAUGAAUUGACGGGGAAGGGC